Long non-coding RNA from Helianthus annuus (common sunflower), 263 nucleotides. RefSeq lists it as uncharacterized. The transcript has 3 exons. NCBI's taxonomy places the organism in Eukaryota, Viridiplantae, Streptophyta, Magnoliopsida, Asterales, Asteraceae. The record is from RefSeq and is a predicted model, not a curated record.
GUUCGAUUAGGUCUGAUCUUUCAUCACCAUCCCAGUCGUAAAUCUAUCUUUUCUUGAUUUAAUUUGAACUUCAGUGGAUCUGCAUAAACCAGAUGAGAUUGAAGUUGAAGAGGACUAGAGGGAAGAGCCUGGUGGCAAAGAAGUGGGUCCUUCAGAUUGUGAUGAUGGCGAAGAAGUUGGAUCUGUAAAUGUGGGAAACUCUGCUUAGCUAGCCAAAAAAGAAGACAUUAAUGGAUUACUUGUGGGUGGUGCUUCAUUAAAGG